This 253-nucleotide ribosomal RNA is filed under the name uncultured bacterium. RNAcentral describes it as "partial 16S ribosomal RNA". It matches the Rfam family "Bacterial small subunit ribosomal RNA", at positions 524 to 776 of the family's 1533-position model. The record is from RNAcentral.
UACGGAGGGGGCAAGCGUUGUUCGGAAUUACUGGGCGUAAAGGGCUCGUAGGCGGCCAACUAAGUCGGAUGUGAAAUCCCCAAGCUUAACUUGGGAACUGCAUCCGAUACUGGAUGGCUUGAAUCCGGGAGAGGGAUGCAGAAUUCCAGGUGUAGCGGUGAAAUGCGUAGAUAUCGGGAGGAACACCCGUAGCGAAGGCGGCCGACUGGACCACACCUGACGCUGAGGCGCGAAGGCCAGGGGAGCGAACGGG